ACAACUAAAAAUACAGAUAAAGUUGUAGAUUGUUUUAAAACCAAACAGAAUUUUUUGUUUGUUUUAGGACACUGCACUCCUUGCAGAGAAUCUCCAGCUGAAAAAAAAGAUCAUGUCAUUAGAGAAACGCCUAACACAGACUAUAUCAUGCAUGGACCGUAAUUGCUUUACUGUAUUUUGGAUUACGGUACAUUGCCGUCUAAAUACUUGCUCUGUAUGUGUGUAUGUGUCUACUGCAUCAUUUCUAUUUCAAAAUACAUAUAGCUAUGUAUUACGAAUAAAAAAUCGCCCCAUGGUGUUUUUUUAGAAAUGUUCAAUGCAGUACCAUUUGUAUAAUCGGCCUGGUGCUAAAUGUACUGUACUUUUGAUCACAUGUUCAAGCCUACCACACUCUAGUAAUAUUUUAAGCUGUUUAUCAUUUAAUAUCUGUAUGUUCUAUUUUCAAGGGUAACCCUAACCGGAAAUCUGAAAGUGCCGAAGACUGUUGUUAGCCUAUUGACAAAGACUAAUGUAAAUAAGUGUACCGCUGAUGCCUUGCUGUACUUUUUUACAAGAGUAGAAAUGGCAAACCACUUCCUGUCAAAAGCGAAAUCUAAUGCACACAAGGGAAGCAAUUUAAAACCAGCAUUAAAUAAAGAUGUGGUGACACCAUUAAUAAGUAAAGGCAUCUUCGCAACAAAAACAUUUGCCACAGGAUAAUUCAUACUUGAGUAUAAAGGCGAAUUAUUAAAGGAAGAUAAGGCAGAGAGAAGUGAAGAUCUUUUUGAGGGACAUAAACAGAUCUUCGCUUAAUUAUGCAUUGAUGCAACAUCUGAUACAAAAUCACUAGGUAGACUGGUCAAUGACAGGGGCACAUGGUAAUUGCAGAUUGGAAAAAGUAGUGAUACAAGAACAGGUGUAUUUGCAUGUUUGUUCGCUAUUAAAGACCUGAAAAUUGAUGAUGAAUUUUGGUAGGAUGAAAGUAUGUAUAGGGGUAGGAGAUUCUUUAUCCACGCUUUAAAAGCAGCAGGAAUUAAUGCCAUAGUUGGAUAUUCUGCAGGUGGGGAGAAAGAAUCAAGGGAACUAUUGAAAGGAGAAAGUGAAAGUGCAUCCGAGUGUUCAAAUUCUGAUAGUGAAUAUCAACCUACAAGCUCUGAUGGUGCUUUUAAUGAGAAAAUAGAUGAAGAACCAGAAAAUGCUGCACAAGAACUAGAUGGAAGUGGUGAAAGAAAAGAAAGUGAUGAUGAUUUUCAAGUGGACAGUGAUGUUGACAAAUAUGGAUUGAAUGUGAAAUGUAUGUUCAUUGUAGCAGAACGAAGACCAGUAAAGAGGGCAAGCUUGUUAGAGAUUAUGACAGCAGAAAUGCUUGUUUGUUUUGUGGCAAAUUACUUAAUUUGCAAGGCAUUAUUUGUCCAAUCAACUUACGGACAAAUAGGGGCAAUUAUGUACAUAAUCAGAAAGUAAAUCAAACAAAGCUGGUAGAAGUUGUCCUUCUCCGUAGACCCCAGACAAGCAAUUCUCCCAGAUGAUUAUGGUCCCUGUCCACAGUGCCUCAGGUAUGCAGGGGAGGAUCCAGAGAGGGGGUCCAUGACGUCCGGAUCCCCCUCAAUCUUUGAAGUGCCCCUUUUUUACCUGAUGAUAAAACGCAAACUACUGUAAAAAUAAAUAACUUAACACCAGAUGUCAAUGUAUUCCUUUCGUUGAAUAAUUGAUUAUUCAUCAUCAAUUUUUUUUAAAAAAUUUAAAUACUUAUGUUUUAAGUUAUAUAUUGACAUGUGGUGUUAAGUACGCACAAUAAGUGCAUUUUUUCCACUUCAAUGGCACGUAUGAGGCCACGUGCCGCGCGCUGGCUCUGAGAGUACAUGCGCGGUAUUUCUCUACUCUGGCGAUUUAAAACCACAUGAUGCAUGCACUCGCACACGGUUUGUAGACGGCCACUAGCUAUCUAUGCGAGAUGCCUAGAAAGGAGAGGCGAAAAAGGCUAAACCAGCAGGAUUUGGCAAGACAAGCUAAACGUUCUGUUAAACUAGAUAUCUUUUUCAAUCAUUUUUGAGCAACAAUACAAGCAACUGUUAUCCAGACUAUGCACUGUAUUAUUCCCCGGUGGGGUUUAGUAUGACAGGUGGUGUUUAGUAUGACCGGUGUAACACGAAAUUUAGUUCCCGGAGAAUUUUAUUAUUUUGUGGUCUGGAUAAUCAGAGCCUAUGGGACACAAAUUUGCAACACUUUCUUCUGGGGUAAACAAUUAUUAAAUAUGUCAUGUAUUUAUUAAACAACAUAAAGUAACGGAAGGUUAUACAAUCGAGCAUAUACCUUAUGUUGAACUUAACUUCACAGCUUAUUAUCCAGCAUAAACAAUCUGUAAAAAAUAUGUUAAAGCUAAUUUACGUUGAAAAAAUCCCAAGUCACUUUACAGCGAGAAAUAGUGAGCAUAAUGGGAAGGGUAGUUGAAACUUACUUUCCUUAAGACGGGAAUAGGUCAGGUAAACAAUAAUAAGGCGGGAAUAUAUUGGUGAUCAUAUUACGUCCGCAUAAGCAGUGUAAGAUAAAACUGUGUUGACAUUUACUGGCAGUUCGGCGGUGGUUCACUGGUUUUUAUCUUGAAUUUGCGUGUAGUGUAUGCUAUCAUACCGCUUCAUUUUUUGGGGGGGUUUUAGCUGAAUAGCCUGUACGACCGUUGUCACAACUAUUUCUUUUCACUUCUUUGGACCAUUAUCUAUUUAAUUAUUUAUUGAAGGAGGGUAUGUACAAAAAAAAAAAGUAACAUUCUUUUAAGACAUCUAAACAGCUUGUCGUACCACUGCUAAAACUUUUAAAAUGCCCUUAAUCUUACAGGCCUAUUUUUAUAAGUUUUACUGUCUGAUUCUCGCUUAUAAAAACAAACAACAAUGAUCAAUAAUCGGUUGAUUUAAAAUAAAGAAACUUAUUAUUAUUAACUUUUUUUUUUUCUUGGAAUCAACAUCAUUCAUUAUAGGGUCCUUUGUUUUAUUAUUAUUGUUAUUAUCAUUAUAUGUAGUGUAAUGGUUUCUUUAAUUGAUCGACCUAAUAUUACUAUCCUCAAUAAUUUAAUUGUUUUGAUCGAUCCUUAUAAUCGUUGAUGUUGGGCAACUCGGACAGCGUUGUAUGAUUGUUAUAUUUAUUUUUUUUAAAAUAAUGUUUGUAGGCCUAUUGAUAUUUAUUUAUUUUUUUAAAAUGUUUUUAGGCCUAUUGAUAAUAGGC
RNAcentral lists this long non-coding RNA (3198 nucleotides) under Anneissia japonica. RNAcentral describes it as "uncharacterized LOC117111336". Lineage: Eukaryota; Metazoa; Echinodermata; Crinoidea; Comatulida; Comatulidae. The record is from RNAcentral.